Molecule: non-coding RNA, 937 nt
Organism: Myodes glareolus (Bank vole)
Lineage: Eukaryota; Metazoa; Chordata; Mammalia; Rodentia; Cricetidae
Source: RefSeq, a predicted model, not a curated record
AGAAGACAAAUGGACACGAAACAACGCCCAUCUGCAGUUUGCUUCAACUGCCAAGCGCUGACCACCGAGCAAUACUGCCUUUCAUCUAAACUGAAGAUCUCCUGACGUGGACGGAAUCACUGGACUCAACAGCCUAGCUGCUGAGGUCAAGAUGCCUUCAACGUGUGUCAACUUGUCAAAAAAUUAACCAGCAUUAGUGACCCGAGAGUAACCAUGGAGAGCUUGACCUGCCUUAUACAUCUGAAAACAUGACUUAAGGUCGUCCCACAUCCUGACCAGGCAGUUUCCCAACAGGGAGGGAACCUCCAGCCUCCAGUUCCAGGUGUCCAUGGCUGGGUUGAGGGACCCGGUCGAUGUGGAGUCGAGGAAAGGCAUCCUCUGACCCUUGCAGGUGCCUCUGGGCUUCCAUCACUGCUGACUGGAAAUGGUCCGCAGUGGAAGUGGGGAUGCCCCAUGUGCAGCUACGAACUGAAGGGCACUUCUCAAAGAGGCAGUACCCCUGCCCCUCCGUGAGAAGCCCAUGGAGAACCCAAGUGUCAACAUCCGGUGGAUCCAAUCUCUUUGCAGUGUGUGCAAAGGGGCACGUGCUCUGGUUCUGAAGUCCGGGGGGAAGGAAACCUGAGCAAAAAUACGGGGGUUCUGAAACUCCAUGCAGGGUGCCAAGGCAUGCUCAGCUGCUUCCACUUACUCCCACUCCGGCCCCACCUCCAAUUGGCAGCAUGGCCCAUCUGCAGUCAGAGGUACCUUGUGGUACUGUGGGGCAGAGGCAAAACCAUCCCUGGGUCCUGUUUCAGGGACUCCUGCCAACGUUCAUGGCUUUCUGAUUCCUCUCGAGGUCAUCAGCAGUGCAAUGGAAGAAAGAAAGCAUCUUUAACAAAUGGUGCUGGCAUAACUGGAUAUCAACAUGUAGAAGAAUGAAAAUAGACCCAUAUCUAUC